This 420-nucleotide ribosomal RNA is filed under the name uncultured bacterium. RNAcentral's name for it is "bacterial SSU rRNA". It matches the Rfam family "Bacterial small subunit ribosomal RNA", at positions 79 to 485 of the family's 1533-position model. The record is from RNAcentral.
UGCUCCUUUGACGUUAGCGGCGGACGGGUGAGUAACACGUGGGUAACCUACCUAUAAGACUGGGAUAACUUCGGGAAACCGGAGCUAAUACCGGAUAACAUUUGGAACCGCAUGGUUCUAAAGUGAAAGAUGGUUUUGCUAUCACUUAUAGAUGGACCCGCGCCGUAUUAGCUAGUUGGUAAGGUAACGGCUUACCAAGGCGACGAUACGUAGCCGACCUGAGAGGGUGAUCGGCCACACUGGAACUGAGACACGGUCCAGACUCCUACGGGAGGCAGCAGUAGGGAAUCUUCCGCAAUGGGCGAAAGCCUGACGGAGCAACGCCGCGUGAGUGAUGAAGGGUUUCGGCUCGUAGAACUCUGUUAUUAGGGAAGAACAAGGUGUGUAAGUAACUGUGCACGUCUUGACGGUACCUCUCAG